GGUUGAUCUGGAGUGGUCUAUGCUUGUCUCAAAGAUUAAGCCAUGCAUGUGAAGGUAAACAAAUUUGUACUGUGAAACUGCGAAUGGCUCAUUAAAUCAGUUAUAGUUUAUUUGAUGGUAUCUUGCUACAUGGAUAACUGUGGUAAUUCUAGAGCUAAUACAUGCAAUCAAGCCCCGACUUCUGGGAGGGGUGUAUUUAUUAGAUAAAAAACCAACGCGGUUCGCCGCUCCCUUGGUGAUUCAUAAUAACUUGUCGAAUCGCAUGGCCUUGUGCCGGUGAUGCUUCAUUCAAAUAUCUGCCCUAUCAACUUUCGAUGGUAGGAUAGUGGCCUACCAUGGUUUCAACGGGUAACGGGGAAUAAGGGUUCGAUUCCGGAGAGGGAGCCUGAGAAACGGCUACCACAUCCAAGGAAGGCAGCAGGCGCGCAAAUUACCCAAUCCCGACACGGGGAGGUAGUGACAAUAAAUAACAAUAUAGGGCUCUUUCGGGUCUUAUAAUUGGAAUGAGUACAAUUUAAAUCCCUUAACGAGGAACAAUUGGAGGGCAAGUCUGGU
Molecule: ribosomal RNA, 555 nt
Filed under: uncultured eukaryote
Lineage: Eukaryota
Description: SSU rRNA
Rfam family: Eukaryotic small subunit ribosomal RNA
Source: RNAcentral